RNAcentral lists this ribosomal RNA (395 nucleotides) under uncultured bacterium. RNAcentral describes it as "bacterial SSU rRNA". It matches the Rfam family "Bacterial small subunit ribosomal RNA", at positions 30 to 426 of the family's 1533-position model. The record is from RNAcentral.
AUUGAACGCUGGCGGCAUGCCUUACACAUGCAAGUCGAACGGCAGCACGGGAGCAAUCCUGGUGGCGAGCGGCGAACGGGUGAGUAAUGUAUCGGAACGUGCCCAGUCGUGGGGGAUAACGCAGCGAAAGCUGUGCUAAUACCGCAUACGAUCUAUGGAUGAAAGCGGGGGAUCGCAAGACCUCGCGCGAUUGGAGCGGCCGAUAUCAGAUUAGGUAGUUGGUGAGGUAAAGGCUCACCAAGCCGACGAUCUGUAGCUGGUCUGAGAGGACGACCAGCCACACUGGGACUGAGACACGGCCCAGACUCCUACGGGAGGCAGCAGUGGGGAAUUUUGGACAAUGGGCGCAAGCCUGAUCCAGCAAUGCCGCGUGCAGGACGAAGGCCUUCGGUUGU